GUGCUCGCUUCGGCAGCAUAUAUACUAAAAUUGGAACGAUACAGAGAUUAGCAUAGCCCCUGAGCAAGGAUGACACGCAAAUUCGUGAAGCGUUUCAUAUUUUU
RNAcentral lists this small nuclear RNA (104 nucleotides) under Sciurus vulgaris (Eurasian red squirrel). Lineage: Eukaryota; Metazoa; Chordata; Mammalia; Rodentia; Sciuridae. The record is from RNAcentral.